RNAcentral lists this ribosomal RNA (257 nucleotides) under uncultured Neisseria sp. Its description in RNAcentral is "partial 16S ribosomal RNA". It matches the Rfam family "Bacterial small subunit ribosomal RNA", at positions 96 to 354 of the family's 1533-position model. The record is from RNAcentral. Lineage: Bacteria; Pseudomonadati; Pseudomonadota; Betaproteobacteria; Neisseriales; Neisseriaceae.
UGGCGAACGGGUGAGUAACAUAUCGGAACGUACCGGGUANCGGGGGAUAACUGAUCGAAAGAUCAGCUAAUACCGCAUACGUCUUGAGAGGGAAAGCAGGGGACCUUCGGGCCUUGCGCUAUCCGAGCGGCCGAUAUCUGAUUAGCUGGUUGGCGGGGUAAAGGCCCACCAAGGCGACGAUCAGUAGCGGGUCUGAGAGGAUGAUCCGCCACACUGGGACUGAGACACGGCCCAGACUCCUACGGGAGGCAGCAGAC